GAGUGCGUCCCCGCCCGCCUUUCCGGUCGCUCGGCCCUGAAAAAACAUCCGCGCAGCCGGAGAAAGGUUUUCGCGGCCGGCGACGAUCGCCGGCCUUCGCGCGCCGUGGCUUCGUGGCAUCGCUAUCGAGGCAUCACGCCGGCGUCCGGCAUCACGCCGCGCGUCUGUACAACGAUUCCGCGUCGCGCGGCCGCCACCCCCCGCCCCGCGUCGGCCGCCGCACCGCGCGCUCGUCGCGCGGCUUUAUUAGGGUUCGACCGUCGCCAUCGCGCUCGUCGUCGCGCGCGCUGACCCCCACCGCCCCCCUCCCCGUCUCGCGCAACAGAGAAGAAGAACCCGUCGUCAUGGAGGAGACCGCCGAGGAGGCCGCCGCCGAGGAGCCCAUGGACCUCAUGUCCGCGCUCCAGAUGGUCCUCAAGAAGGCCCUCGCCGAGGACGGCCUCCACCGAGGCCUCCGCGAGGCGUGCAAGGCGAUCGAGUCCCGCAAGGCGCUCCUCUGCGUCCUCGCGCAGGACUGCGACCAGGCGGACUACACCAAGCUCAUCCAGGCGCUGUGCAACGAGGUCAACGUGCACCUCAUCCGCGUCCCGCAGGCGGUGCAGCUCGGCGAGUGGGCCGGUCUGUGCAAGCUGGACGCCGAGGGCACCGCGCGCAAGGUUGUCAAGUGCUCGUGCGUCGUCGUGUCCGACUACGGCGAGGAGACCGAGGGGCUCGCGAUGCUCCAGGAGUUCCUCAAGAACGCGUCCGCGUAAACGAACGCGGCGACGACCGCGCACCGUUCCGUCUUCGAGGCUGGUUUGGUAUUACGAUGAAGCGCGGUAGCUCGUUGUAACAAGGCAACCCUAUCGCGCGACUGAAGACGCAGUAGUGUACACGCGCGCUCUUUCCCCG
This 891-nucleotide long non-coding RNA is filed under the name Micromonas pusilla. Its description in RNAcentral is "long non-coding RNA (MPUS_LNC000085)". Lineage: Eukaryota; Viridiplantae; Chlorophyta; Mamiellophyceae; Mamiellales; Mamiellaceae. The record is from RNAcentral.